RNAcentral lists this ribosomal RNA (439 nucleotides) under uncultured bacterium. RNAcentral describes it as "partial 16S ribosomal RNA". It matches the Rfam family "Bacterial small subunit ribosomal RNA", at positions 339 to 795 of the family's 1533-position model. The record is from RNAcentral.
CUACGGGCUGCUCCAGUGGGGAAUAUUGCACAAUGGAGGAAACUCUGAUGCAGCAACGCCGCGUGGAGGAUGACACUUUUCGGAGCGUAAACUCCUUUUAUAUAGGAAGAAGAUGACGGUACUAUAUGAAUAAGCGCCGGCUAACUCCGUGCCAGCAGCCGCGGUAAUACGGAGGGCGCAAGCGUUACUCGGAAUCACUGGGCGUAAAGAGCGUGUAGGCGGAUUAAAAAGUCAGAAGUGAAAUCCUAUAGCUUAACUAUAGAACUGCUUCUGAAACUCUUAAUCUAGAAUAUGGGAGAGGUAGAUGGAAUUUCUGGUGUAGGGGUAAAAUCCGUAGAGAUCAGAAGGAAUACCGAUUGCGAAGGCGAUCUACUAGAACAUUAUUGACGCUGAGACGCGAAAGCGUGGGGAGCAAACAGGAUUAGAUACCCCAGUAGUC